Molecule: ribosomal RNA, 427 nt
Filed under: uncultured bacterium
Lineage: Bacteria
Description: partial 16S ribosomal RNA
Rfam family: Bacterial small subunit ribosomal RNA
Source: RNAcentral
UGGGGAAUAUUGCACAAUGGGCGCAAGCCUGAUGCAGCCAUGCCGCGUGUAUGAAGAAGGCCUUCGGGUUGUAAAGUACUUUCAGCGAGGAGGAAGGCGUUGUGGUUAAUAACCGCAGCGAUUGACGUUACUCGCAGAAGAAGCACCGGCUAACUCCGUGCCAGCAGCCGCGGUAAUACGGAGGGUGCAAGCGUUAAUCGGAAUUACUGGGUGUAAAGCGCACGCAGGCGGUGUGUCAAGUCGGAUGUGAAAUCCCCGGGCUCAACCUGGGAACUGCAUCCGAAACUGGCAGGCUAGAGUCUUGUAGAGGGGGGUAGAAUUCCAGGUGUAGCGGUGAAAUGCGUAGAGAUCUGGAGGAAUACCGGUGGCGAAGGCGGCCCCCUGGACAAAGACUGACGCUCAGGUGCGAAAGCGUGGGGAGCAAACA